GAUGAACGCUAGCUACAGGCUUAACACAUGCAAGUCGAGGGACCGGCGCACGGGUGAGUAACACGUAUCCAACCUGCCCUUUACUCGGUGAUAGCCUUUCGAAAGAAAGAUUAAUACCCGAUAGAAUGGAUGGGGAUGCGUUCCAUUAGGUUGUGGGUAAGGGAACGGCUAACCAAGCCUUCGCUGGAUAGGUGUUCUGAGAGCAAGGUCCACGAGAUUGGAACUAAGACACGGUCCAAGAUCGUACGCGGGGCAGGAGAGUGGAAUAUUGGUGAAUGAGCGCUAGCCUGACCAUGCCAAGUAGAGUAAAGGAUGAAUGUUUAUGGGACGUAUUCUAGUUUUAUAUAAGAAUAGGUAUUAUAUGAAUAAGGAUCGGCUAACUCCGUGCCAGCAGCCGCGGUAAUUC
This 406-nucleotide ribosomal RNA is filed under the name uncultured bacterium. Its description in RNAcentral is "partial 16S ribosomal RNA". It matches the Rfam family "Bacterial small subunit ribosomal RNA", at positions 28 to 526 of the family's 1533-position model. The record is from RNAcentral.